This 459-nucleotide ribosomal RNA is filed under the name uncultured bacterium. Its description in RNAcentral is "partial 16S ribosomal RNA". It matches the Rfam family "Bacterial small subunit ribosomal RNA", at positions 338 to 795 of the family's 1533-position model. The record is from RNAcentral.
CCUACGGGAGGCAGCAGUGAGGAAUAUUGGUCAAUGGGAGAGAUCCUGAACCAGCCAAGCCGCGUGAGGGAAGACGGCCCUAUGGGUUGUAAACCUCUUUUGUCGGAGAACAAAACCCGGGACGUGUCCCGGACUGCGUGUAUCCGAAGAAAAAGCAUCGGCUAACUCCGUGCCAGCAGCCGCGGUAAUACGGAGGAUGCGAGCGUUAUCCGGAUUUAUUGGGUUUAAAGGGUGCGUAGGCGGUCCGUUAAGUCAGCGGGAAAAUUGCGGGGCUAAACCCUGUCGAGCCGUUGAAACUGGCAGACUUGAGUUGGCGAGAAGUACGCGGAAUGCGCGGUGUAGCGGUGAAAUGCAUAGAUAUCGCGCAGAACUCCGAGUGCGAAGGCAGCGUACCGGCGCCAGACUGACGCUGAGGCACGAAAGCGUGGGGAUCGAACAGGAUUAGAUACCCUGGUAGUC